Nematostella vectensis (starlet sea anemone) is the source of this 1581-nucleotide long non-coding RNA. RefSeq lists it as uncharacterized. The transcript is spliced from 4 exons. The record is from RefSeq and is a predicted model, not a curated record. NCBI's taxonomy places the organism in Eukaryota, Metazoa, Cnidaria, Anthozoa, Actiniaria, Edwardsiidae.
UUAUUGAGUGGUACGAGUCGUGGAACAUUGGCUAACCAUGGUUUACAAGUGGUACGAGUCGUGGAACAUUGGCUAACCAUGGUUUACAAGUGGUACGAGUCGUGGAACAUUGGCUAACCAUGGUUUACAAGUGGUACGAGUCGUGGAACAUUGGCUAACCAUGGUUUACAAGUGGUACGAGUCGUGGAACAUUGGCUAACCAUGGUUUACAAGUGCUACGAGUCGUGGAACCUUGGCUAACCAUGGUUUACAAGUGGUACGAGUCGUGGAACAUUGGCUAACCAUGGUUUACAAGUGGUACGAGUCGUGGAACAUUGGCUAACCAUGGUUUACAAGUGGUACGAGUCGUGGAACAUUGGCUAACCAUGGUUUACAAGUGGUACGAGUCGUGGAACAUUGGCUAACCAUGGUUUACAAGUGGUACGAGUCGUGGAACAUUGGCUAACCAUGGUUUACAAGUGGUACGAGUCGUGGAACAUUGGCUAACCAUGGUUUACAAGUGGUACGAGUCGUGGAACAUUGGCUAACCAUGGUUUACAAGUGGUACGAGUCGUGGAACAUUGGCUAACCAUGGUUUACAAGUGCUACGAGUCGUGGAACCUUGGCUAACCAUGGUUUACAAGUGGUACGAGUCGUGGAACAUUGGCUAACCAUGGUUUACAAGUGGUACGAGUCGUGGAACAUUGGCUAACCAUGGUUUACAAGUGGUACGAGUCGUGGAACAUUGGCUAACCAUGGUUUACAAGUGGUAUUUUGCCUGUCAUUAAGUUCACUUGGUUGUGAUUGGUAAAAUUAUGCCAGAACAGUGUGGUAACCGAACCGAACGAUCUAGCUUUUAAAGUGAGCAUAUACUCACUGUGAUGAUCUUAUGAGAUUGCUGCCAGCACCAAAGGGAGUGACCAGGUACAGUGAAAUACACAAGAACAGUUAGGAAAGUCCUACAAGACAUAGAAGUCAUCAAAUUAUUCAAAAUUGUUCAAAAGGACAGAAUCUCAGAAAUAUAAAUCAAUCAUAUCACCUUUGCUAUGUGUACUGUAAAAGUCAUAACUGUGGAGCUGACAUUCAAUUCAUUCGAGUUUUGGCAAAGGGGCAGUUAGUAAUAGUGACAGUAACAGCUUACUUACAGGGUAGUUAUAAAUAGUGACUUGAACAGGAGCUAAGAUGGCAGCAUGUGUUGCUGUACUUUUACCUGCUAGCUCCCCUCGAUGUUUCACUCUGAAGUAAAUACAACAAAUGAAAAUUCACCAGAUUUAUUUCACACUACAUUGUAAUGACUUCUUGUUGCUUUUACUGGAUCGAGACAAAGGAAAUAUCUAGGAUCAGGGAGCAUUGUUUUUAGCAAAAUUGUGGGACUGAAAAAUCACUGUGUUUGGGAAAGCUCCUCUGCGGAGAUUUUGGCAUUUUUUUUUUGUUAUACCUUUAUGGAAAAUAGCAUCAUUAAAUCAUCUCCACCCAAAUUCUUCCAUAUUUCACCUAUUCUCAUUCAUGAAAGAAUUAGAGAGAAUUGAUGAAUUACUGAACCAAUCACUGAUUCUUUUAUUAUAUGUUUGAUGUGGAAAUAAAAUAUUGAACAUACUCACA